This is an RNA transcript of Corvus hawaiiensis (hawaiian crow), 13718 nucleotides long. It is a transcript of the gene named fibronectin type III domain-containing protein 9-like, with no coding region annotated. NCBI's taxonomy places the organism in Eukaryota, Metazoa, Chordata, Aves, Passeriformes, Corvidae. The transcript is spliced from 3 exons. The record is from RefSeq and is a predicted model, not a curated record.
UGCUCCCUCCCCUACUUAAAUUUAAAAAAAAAAGGAAGAGUUGUUAGUUGCUGAUGUCAUCAAAGUGCUAACAUUAAUCACUCACAGCAUCACCAGUCCACACACAAGACUAUAUAACAGGGAUGCUCAGGCAGCAUACUGCCAAGGGGAGGCAAGCAAGAGAGGGGGGAAAAGACAUUAUUUUUUUCUCCUGUGUGGUCUUUGAAAAGCAAGGCAACAACAUCCUUAGACAAGAUGUGCUCUUGCAUGAAUUUAAGUGGAAGAGACAAAGAAACCAUGCCACCAGCAGCAUCGGAGAAAAAAACUGAAAUCACCAAGCAAUGAGAAUUCAGUCCAGAGAAUCUAAGGAGAAGAAAAAGCAAACUGGCAAACAGAGAUCAGUCAAGAAAUAAUUCAUGUAGAAAGGGGUACAAAAAAUUUGGUGUUUGUAACAUUUUCACAGCAGCAUCGCCGUAAAGAAAUUCUGAUCUGGAAUUUCCAUCAGGGAGUGACGAGCACCACGAUUAAAACACAAACAACAUCUUCAGUGCUGCAGCUUCUCAGUCACUGCCAAAGAAUAUCUUCCCUUUGCACAGGGAGAUCAGCAUCAAGAGAGAAAAAAAACUCUGAAGCAACAUCCUGAUGGGAAUAACUGUCCAAAACAUCACAGGAAACACAGCAAUGGUAAUUUGGCCGAAAAUGGCCAGUUGUGUCGACAGCUUUUACAGCAUCAUGUACCACCCUAACUGGAACAGCAUGCUAUCCAGCUACUCCAGAAAGAGCUUCCAGAAGGAAGAGAGGGUGCCCACCACUCGUUCCUCCUUUGUUGUUGAAAACCUGAUUCCCCUCACAACAUACAUCAUGUGCGUGACCUGCCAGUCCGCAAACCCCUCCAGCGACCAGUGCAGAGUUUUUAACACACUAGAACGAGACCCGGCAUCUGGAAGCAACACCAAGAAAGAGCUGGCACUGGGCAUCUGGCUCACCAGCAGUGUCCUGCUCCUCAUCAUCGCUGCAGUCCUGCUCUACGGCUGCCUGCACCUCCUGUGCCGCAGGAGACGCGAGCGUUUGCAAGAGCAGAACAGGACCUCCAAACAAGAGCACAGGGAGCCAUGGACCAAAAGCGCGGCAUACACCUCGGUAGAAUUCAGCAGGCAGAGCCACCAGACACAGGAUGCUGAGGAAAAGCAUCCAGGUGGCAUCCAGCUGGCCACAAUCAUAGAGAAUCCCUCAGUGUGCAAGGAGCCUAUCAUGCCAUCUUCUAAAAGCCAGGAACAAGUCCCAACACCAGGACAGUGCUCUGCUAUAAAUUAGAAACCUUUUGUCCAGGAGAAGUUUUUUGCUUUGUACGGUCCCCCAACUACUUCAAACACACCACGUGCACUGUCAGUGCUCACAAUAGGGAGCUCCAACUGCUCACCACAGCACUCUUGGCUGUACUUCUGAUGUCACACCCCUUUCCAACAGCCUAUAUGCAAAGGCUCACAUGCCCAAGAAGUGAGCACUUCAGCCACCCUCCAUUAUUUAAAAAUUAAGCAUGUAGCAAGUAAUUGGUUUACAUUUCAAGGGGAUAUUUUUGUUGCUUUUCUUUAGUCUAAAACAGCAAACAAAUAUAAGAAGUAAUCAAAAGUGACCAAAAGAAUUUUUGUUAACUAGCACAAAUAAAACUGAGUAGGAGUUUUCAGAUGCCAUUCCCAACUGCUACACUAUAGGCGACUGGAACAUACACAUGGAGUGCAGUGGUUUGCCAGUGUGAGUUUUACCCUGACAAUUCCAGCUGCUUCCCAAACCACACACUACAGCACGACAUUCAGACUACACACUUCACUGCCCACAGCUGUCCAUCCCUCCCAUCUGCACUGAGGUCAGUCUCAAAAUGUAAGCUAAACUCACCAGGAUUUUAAUUGUAUCCUCUCAUCCAUUUUAUUUUCCCUCCGUUUAAAUACAUGAAAGAUACUGACUUUGUAAGGAUGCUUCUAAUUAAGGAAAUAUCCUGGGUUAUCACAUUUGGCACUCUUCUGCUCCCCCCAUAAGCAACCUCCUGCUCCAUGGGCCAGCAACUCCCUGCAGAGGAAAUGGAAUUCAGAGACACAGCUCCUGGCCCUUCCUUUUCUCUUUCCCUUUCAGUUUUAAUGAUAACUCACAUUAAUCAGCUGCAAAUUUCUUUCCAAUUGCACAGUACAUUCUGUGUAAUGUGUUUUAAAAAAUACUGAAAACAUGCCAAAAUGCAUUUUAUUUUUGUAACAAGAAAACCUGCUGAACAUCUCACUCUGCCUUGAGCUUCAUGGCAAAGUGCCAAGGUCCUUCAGACAGAAAUCUGUUCACUCUCACAACAUGACAAGUGUUGUCUGAUUUACAUUUAUAAGUCACCCUGUUUUAAACCUCUUAAGUGCAUUUGUGUUCCAUAAAAAACAAAAUAAAUCUUAAUAGUGCUGUAUAUUACGCCUAAAGAACAAAGGUGCACUGUGACUGCAGACACCUAAUUGCUAUUGGUACGAAUUAUGUCUGAAGUCAGCUCUCACUGACACAGCUCGGUUGUAUCAGUGAAGGCUGGAGAACUGCUGGCUGGGCAGCUGCCAUCCCACUCCAUUGAGCCCUGGAAGCUAAGGGGGGUGCAAUUUUGGCAAGAGAUCUCCCCAUGAAUGUUUCACAGCAGGUAGCGGAUCUUUUCAGCUACUCUAUUUUGACAACAAUUCCCACGACUUGUGAAAUGCAUUGACUCUCAGAGUGCUAGGAAGAAGCUGGCGUAAGUGUGAGGAAUCUUCUUUAGGUUUUUUUUGAGUAGGAUAAGCAUGACACACAGAAAUGUUUGCUGAACUGGGGCGAGUAUGACUUUUAGAAAACACUUCAAAAGGCAUUUUUAUUGUGUGAAGUUAGCAACAACAUGUUCUCCACCUGCUGUGGAGCAUUUCCUCCAGCUGACACGUUUUUCUUUGUCUUGCACGUCAGUCUCAAAUAAACUGUGAGAGUAACAAGUUCACUGCUGUUUCAAAUGACGGUGUUACAUGAAAUAGGCACUGAAAAACCCUCGUCAGAGCAUGAAGCCAACACAACAGGUUUACUGCCAAAAAGGGGUGCCUGGGUAACAAGGACAGAAAAAAUGCUUUAAAAUUAUCUUGUAAUCAAAUUAACAGUAACACUUCUCUGAUUAGGUUUUCAUCAAAAAAAGAUGACUUUAAUGUUAAAGGGAUGAAGCCAAGAGACAUACAGUCAGCCUCUGCCAACAUCUUGGGUUCUUGGAAACCUGUUUACUUCUCUGCAUGUCCAUUUCUUUAUGAGGGUUUUAGGGCAGUCCAAUACAUAUAUUUACACACAUUCAUGUUAUAUACACAUGUACAUUCCAUACUGAGAACAAGGAGCAGUUCAGCCUCAAAGCAGUUUCGAGGCAAUUCACCUACUGCAUUUUGUUAUUUGUACACAAACACAUACAUCCAAAAGAUGUGUCUAUAUCCAACUAAGAAGGCAAAGAGCUACCACGGAAGUGCUCCCCAAGGGAUUUACCUUCUCUAAAUAUAAAACCAUUCCACCCACAGAGUUUACUGUGCACUACUAAGAUAAACAUUUAUAUCAUCUCAGAAGCAAUGGACCAUCUCGCACCUGCUGCAAAUGAGCAACUCAUGCAGAGUGUCAUCUGUUUUCUGCUCUAGUUUUGAAAAACUCAUGUUAUCACAUGCUCACAGAGCUACAUGAUUCUUUGUGUCUUGCUGAGAAAGUUUUAUUACAGAUUAAUUCAGGUUCAUUCUGGCAAUUUUGUAUUCAAUUUGGUAAUUCAACACUCAGUUUUAACAGUCAUCUAUCAAGGGGCAAAUAUUCUGAGUGAUUACCAACUGAUAACAAUUUGCAACAUAGUGCAAACUAAUUUUAAUUUGUGCACCAGCAGUAAAUAAAAACCAUUAUAUUCACAGUGAGAAGUAUAUUUUAAACAUGUCUUUUUCACAAAACAAAUGAGUUAGCACCUACAAAAUGCUGGAGACAUAAAAACAUGGCAAUAUUUGGAAAACAUUGUUUAAGACAGAAAGAAAGCUCUUCUGUUCUGGUCUACACAACCUCUAUAAAACCAGGUAUUUCUAAUAUAGGCCUAUCCAGUUAUGAAAUUUGCCCCAGAAAUGUAAGGAAGACUCCCCCCCCUUGAUUGCUGCUGCUCAUACAGAAAAAUGAUCAGGAAUUCUGAAAAUGUAUAGCUCUCAGUGUGAAAUUACUAAACCCAUUUUUAUUAUGUAACUAAAAAAAAAAGUGUUCCCCAGUUAAUCUUCUGUCACUCACCCCACUGUAUCAUCACUUAGAUAAAUUAAGUUAGCAAUCUCUAUGAAAUUCAGUUGUGUUUUUACUCUACACUGCAUCUGGUCAAUUCCUAAAAUAGUAAGGAACACAAUAACUCUAAUGUAAGAAAAUCCCACUUUCCUAUAAUUUACUGUUCCUUUUUGGAGAACAAUUAUAUAAAACACUGUUCACAGGACCAGACAGUCAGCUGUUACCUUCCACAGUAAGACAUGUGAAUCCUUUUCCACCCCCAUUACAUUUUAAAGGCAUGAAAGUUUUAUAAAUGCAGCAGAUAUUUUAGGACUGAAAUUUGUAACUCCUGAGAUAUCUCUUCAGCUCUCAAAACCUAGACUACUGGGUUGAAAUUGCACCAUAUAACUAUGGUAUGAUGUGUAGAAAAUAACAGUAAGACAAGGACUAAUUAUGUUCAUGUUUAAGUAGAAGGUAGAUAUUGAAAGUAGCUAGCCAUAACACUUACAUCACACUUGUAUAAAUUAGAUGUAUAAUUGAGUACAUAUUUUAAAUAAUUUGAAAUAAUAAUAAAUAAUUUUAAGCUUUUUUAUUGUCCAUCCUCUAAUUUAAUCCUUAUAUUUUCAUUUAUCUUUUCCAUACUUCAGCUUGCCACCCUGAUACUCAAGAAAACAUUAUGAAAUUUAGAGCGACAGCUUGCUAGAUAUUCUCGAAUGAUUUGCUGAAGAUAGCACUGCUGUUAGAAGUAGAUCAAUAUUUCAGACUAGAUAUUAAAAAUGCACAUAUAUGUUAAUGCACUAUGCCUUUAACUGUCAUUAAGACUCAGGUAAUAAUUCUGAAGAAUAAGAAAACAAAUCUGCAGUGAUCAGGGAGAACAAAUCUAUCACCCAUGAGCAUAGCAUUGGUCCUGUGAGUACAGGCUAACUUUCCUCACUUGGGUAGCUCACAGCUGUUCUCUUGUGCCAAGUACUCUUCCAACUUGACACCCACAUAAGCUCCUUUCCAACCUCACUAUUGGGGACUGCCAUAGGGACAUAGAGUAUGUGACUGCACAUGGUGCACACUUCUAUUGAAAACUUGCAUAAACCUCGCAAGCCCUCCUAACUGCAAAGCAAGAAACAUGAUGCUAAUACAGAAGAUGAGAUGGCCAGCACACCAAGGUCAUCACAAUGAAUUUGAACUCAUUGGUUAUAGAUGCCAAAGAAACACUACCUUUUUUUAAAAAAUAAUUGAAGUAGUUUGGUAUCUGAUAUUUUAAGAUGGUCAGAAUCAAUAUUCCUUUUAAGUCAGGUAAUAUCUGAAGCAGUUUUUCCUAUCUAUUCCCUUUUCCUCUGUCAUCACAGUCUUCAUCACUGUAACAAGAGAGCUGCACCCAAGAUGGGCUCUUAUUCUGACUUCACCAGAUGAGUAAUUAAUCUUUACUUAUGAGUCUGCUCUGCCACUAUAAGCAACUGAACAACACAAGGUGGUUGAGAGAAGGGCUUAUUUCUAGCUUUGUCAGAUAAGACUAACCAUCAGACUAAUCAACUGCACUUUGGCUGAAACAUACGGUGAGCUUCACAGGAAAGUCUUAAAAAAAGUGUAUGUUCAAUUUAAAAUACACACAAAAUGUAUUUCAGAUCAUUUCUAAUAACUUUCAUAUACCGUAGUUUCUAUGAUUUAAAAAGAUACCUUUAAACAUUAGCAAACCAUAAAGAAAAAGGGAAUUAUAUCCAACCUUUGAUCCAUAGAGAUACUGUGGCUGUGCAUUAGGCUGCUUAUCGCGCUGAAACUCCUGAGAAAAUGGUAGCACGGUCCGAACAAAUCUAUAUAAAAAACAAAAACAAGAAUUCAUUAUUUAUACUUAGGUUAGCAGAUGUGCAUCUCAUGCACCCUACCCUGUAGAAAACUGCUUUUGUCUGCAUAUACAAUCAAAGCCAGACCAGUAGCCUUUCACCCCUAGUAGAAACUGGGGAAGCACACAGCCUGAAUUGCCCAAAAGCAUGGACAGAAAUCAUACUGCAGUUCAACAAUUACUCUUCUUCCCAUGGUGUGCAGUGUACCAAAAUAUUCCUCACCUCUACGCUAGCCCAGGCCAGCAAAUAUGGAAGUAACUAACAAAGUAGCAAUAGUCUCUCACAGGGAGUAAGGAAACUCCUUGUGCUUGAAAAAUUAAGUCCUUGAGAAAGAAGUACACCUUCAAAGAAGAACAUGACAUUUCUGUUUAAUGUUUUGGAGCUUUUCCCCCCAAAAUUCACAUCAGGAGAAAUAUGUUAGGUUGUCACCUUUAAAAAAGGUCACGAGGAAGGAAGGGUAUAAUCCUCGCAGCAAAAUCAACGUUUCAAAAGUUUGAUCAUACUUCAGUGUGAGCACGUACCAAUACAAAUCACGCUUAGCUUUACCUUUGCACACUGUUAAGAGGAUGGCAAGAGAACUACAAAGAUAUGGAGCACUGCCAAAGACAGGAUCAGCCAUCUCACUCACAGCUGAGGGCACCAGAGUCUGAAGGACCAUUCCAAGUCCUCCUGUGAACAAGCAGCACAAAUCUUCCCCCUUGAUGUUCCCUGUUAACUGCGUAAUGCACAUUUGGCAGCACCGCAGUUUUAGUGCAGGAAGAAGUUAAUCAAUAUCUACUAUAAUUCUGAUUCUGCUUAACUUGACUAAACAGAGCAAAGUUACUGGGGGAUGUGUUCAAGAGUUGGAUGGCCACUUUAUUUUUUACCUUGAUUAAAAAGUAUUUCUUGAUAAAUGGUGCAACCCUGUGUAUGCACAGCAAAGAGGGAAAAUAGCUAUUUAAGAAGUGUAUCUCAAAUGGUUGUAUAAUAUCAGCCAGGUCUGAGUGAUAACUGAGCAAAAUAAAUGUAUCUAGGAAAAUGUUUCAGGAAAGAAAACUUGCCUUACAUUAUAAUAUCAUAAGAUACAAUUGUAGCUUGAUCCUUUUUUGUUUAAUCUAUUUACAUUUAAUCAGCAUACAAAAUUAAUUAUUCAUUAUUAAUUCUUCCUAGAAAGAACACAGACAUUCUACUUUUAAUAUAUCCAUCUUGUAGCUAAAAACAAAAACAGCCAUGUCAAUCAAAAAUUGGUUCACCCAGACAGGUAUCAAUUGCACCAUAUUGCUUACAAUUAUUUCCACGGUGUUUUAUUUCUGAAUCAUUCCUGUGAGAAUCUAUAACUUCAGGACAAUGUUUUCUGCAUUUUUAACCUUCUCAAAAAUAGGUACAGCUACUUGCUCAUACAUAGUUCAGCCCAUCUUCCCAAAAAUACUCAUACUUGCCAUAGUCCAGAAAGAGUUUGCAUUUAGAGCUUCUGAGGAAAAAUACACUAUUUAUAUGUGUUUUAUUGAUACUAUAUAUAUUAUUUAAAUCUCCUUACAUUUAUAUUCCCUCAGUUUACAGGUUUCUCCCCUUCUCUCUCACUUACAUAGAAACUGAAAACUCUCCUUUGAGAGAGAUUACUUGAAUCUUUAUUCUGCAGAUACUUCAUUAAUGAGUUUACCAGAGAUGAUGUAAACAUUUGAUGGAAUUCAAAGUAAUCUGCAACAUAUGACAGUCCCCGAGAUUACUCUAUUCCCCCUUUUUUCUCUCUAAGUCCCACUCCUUUUUAAACUGACAUCAAUUUUCAAGCCCUAAGAGAAUCUCUGAAAUGAAACCAUAGGAGAUACCAUGUCAUUUGAGAUAAGACUGGGUUUCAGUGUGCAGACAUUUGGCAAGAGCAGAUUUGCUACCACUAAAUUAAAAUGCUCACAAGGAAAGGAGCAUUUCAAAAUAUAAGUGGGUGUAUCCCAUGACUCUGGAAGCUGUAACUGUAAUUCUUAGACUUCUCAAAACGGUGUUGUGUGUAUAAUAUCUCAAUUAUAAUGUAAUUAGUGUCUGGGAGCAAACCAGUCAGUGCAAGUAAAUGCUCAAGUAACUCUUGUGUGUUUCUCAGUGUUCCUCUGCAUUCUUGGGGGUUUCUCCAUCUCUAAUGCUUUAGAGUAGUAGCAAAAUAGCCUUAAAGUUUUCUUAAAGACUUGAAGCAAGCACAAUUGCUUAUACUUUCUUGGAUGAAAGGGGUCAAGAGAGGAAGAAAAAAAGUAAGGAAGUAGGAGCAAAAGGUAACAGUCACUUGUUAAGUUAUGGAGAGGCAACGUCUAAGAUUGAGGCUACAACAGCCUAAAGAGUGCAUCAUUCUAGAAGGUAUGUGACUACUCCAAACAUAUCAUUCAGGUAAGUAUUAGAAAUUUCUUCCCUCAGAACUAAGGGCUAUAUGAAAACCUUACAGUUCAACAUUAUCUAUUGUUCUUCAAACUUUUUCAAUGUGCGUGUGUGUGUGCACUUUCUUUCUGACAUUCUGCUGGUUGGCUUCCUUCUGCUCCUCCUCCAAGAAAGAGAAACAUCUCUUUGAAGGACUGAAGCUCUUUGACUAUCAAAGCUAAAGCUAAGCAAAGUUUAACUUUCCCCUGAAUACUGACUGGAUGCAGGUUUCAGCAUACUCUGAGAUAACCAGUUUCAUUUUUAAUCAGUGUUGAUAAUCUCACAGCAAUUUAUCCAUUUUAAUCAGAACAGGUUGUCAAACUAGAUUAAGCAGAUGAAAAGCCUUCUGGCUUACCGAAGCUUUGCAAAUGAUUGCUAGAGGAUAACAUGAGCCCCCAAAGUAAGUAUUUUAGGGAUCAAAUAAUUUAAUGUUAGUUUUUCUGUGAUACCUACUGUGAGCACUUCACAAACUAAUCUAAAUGAUUCUUUGAUUUUAAUUACUAUAAUCUAUUUAAGGAGAUAACUGAAAGAGACCACUUUGUUCAAUGACCCUGCUGCCUUGCUACUGCAGGCACCAAGUCAGACAAACCUCAUUCAUAAACUUUCUUAGCUUCAUCUUUGAAGUAACAAGCUGUGACAAUCUUCCCUCCCUGCUCCUACAGAAAGUGUUCUCUGCACUUCUCUGUCUAAUUGGUAAGAACACUUUUAACCUCCAGCAUUCUCAAAUUAGUUUGUCCUGUCUACCAGAACUAAGGGUAGCCCUACACCUCCUCUCAGUGAACACUAGAUCUGACUCACCCUUCUUAAACACAGAUGUCAAGAUGGAGAGAACAGAGGAAACAGCAGGGAAAAUAGCGCAUGAGAGAGUAACAGAUCCACCAAUCCAUUGCUGUCACUUUUCCUUUUGGCAGAAAGACUUUGGUUGCUUGUUUUUUUAGGAGCGGAAAGGUAGUUGACUACAGUCACCCCUGCUUUGCAAGAGUCUAUAUCCCUGCACCAUUUGGCUCUUUGUAGCAGGAACUGCAUGGCUUUCACUGCUACUUUUCAGGUUUGCUCCAGCAGUAUCUGAAAGGGCUGAAAAUUUUUCUGAACAGUGACUGUCAGAGUAUAUGCAACACAAGAAGACACAGCUGUUCUCUUGUGAAAACCAUCUUAAAAGCAGUAUGAGAGAGAGAGAGCUUGCAAAAGGAAGGGGGAGAGACAGUCAGGAAGAGUGAAAAAUAAAAAGCUGGUCUUUUUGUUCCUUCUGUGACAAAUCUGUAUCCUUGGAAGAAACAUGUCAUAUUGCAUUUGGAAGAGUGCAUGAAUUUAUACUAGAGAACACAGAUUUGGGUAAUGUGUUAGAGGAGAUGGAGCUACUAGUUUAACUACUGUCUCCAAAAGCUUGUAUCAUUUGUGUCAAGAAAGCACAGAAAAUCUUCAACUCAAAUAUAUGUAAGGCUGUCUCACACUUGCUCCUCUGUUAGUCUUUAAUACAAAACAAGCUGUCAAGGAAGGAAAAGACCAGCUUAGAAACAUUAAAGAAAAUAAGGCAGAAAAAGGGACACCACAGACAGCGGAAAAGAAACAAGGAACAAAAACGUGCAAGUUGUCUUUGUGUCAUUUAAAUCUUCUGGACAGCCCUAGACAACCUAACUUCACAAGGAUAAAGAGGAAUGAAAAAGCACAGAUGCAGGCCUAAGCAUGACAAAUAUUCCUGGUGUGGAAAUACUUGUAGCUUGAAAAGACAUGCAGCUGAGGGCCAGCGUGAGAGAGGGCUCUUGAAAAACAAUCCCAGGCAGCACAGAAAAGACAAGUGGGAAAUGGCUGUUUAUGGCCACUUUCAGUAAAAGAACUGGUGGAGAAUAGCUUGAGAGCAUCUCAAAGAGAUGCAGCACAAGCUUCAUUGCAGACUCCUCACUGGAGCACGUAAGGAAUGCCAAAGCCUCGCACUGCUUUACAAAAGGGACAGGGCAAAACAACGGAGAAAAAUUAAUACCCCUGUAAAGGGCCACGAAUGCACUAACAUCCCACCAUGCACUAACAUCCCACCAUUUUCGUUUCACAGAAACAUCUAAUCAUUGCUAGAAGCUGGCAUGUUUCUUGGGAGAACAAUCACCUCAAGCCUCCCUUGUUUUCAUAUGCAGCCCCUUUACGGCUGCUGAUAGCAUCAGAACACUGGGCUAGAGACAACUUUGACCUCACCUGCAGUUCAUAUGCGUGUGCACUAUCCAAAGGUUUGUUUUCUUUCCACACAGGUAGAUUAAAAACGCCCUUAGAUUUCACUGCUAAGGCCCAUCUGCAGAAGUCCCCUCUCUCAUCUCCCCAUUCCUUCUCCACAAACUGUUGUCCCUCAGUCUGUGCAGCUGGCCAGCAUUAAUAAGACUAAAUUUCAGAUAAAUGGCAACUCCAAUUAUUAAAUUGCUAAAUCUUUUAAUAGCAGCCUCACUGUUUAAUCUCAGUACAUUAUCAGACAUAAAAAAAUUCCUAAGUCCCAAAUAAUUAAACAUGCAAUGUGUUUCAGCACUUCUGCAUGAAGAGUCUUAGCUUUUGAACUAAACCUGCAGGGUUUCUAAACAGUUGAACUCUUUUACAGAUAUAUGAAAUUUUCAUGUUCAAGCAUUCUUGGGAAAAGAACUUCAAAAGACAGAAUCUUGGAUCUAAAAUACAACAUAACCAUCACAGAACAUGUCAGACAAAGAAAGCUCUCCAAGAAGACAGUGAAAGAUGAGAACAGGCUUCCUCCUCUUCCUACAGCUCAAUAUUCACUAUCACUUUACUGUCACUUCACAGGGCUUUAACCAAAACCUGAGUAAAGACUAAAAGUAACACAAAUCCUAAAAACAGCACACGAGCAGGAAGUCCAGAUAUGCAAAAUCUUGAACAUUGUGCUUCCCCCUCAUUCAAACCUUAGAUCCUACCUUCCUCUUUCUAUUUCUAUUACUCACUCUCCUUAAAGGCUGCAACUGCAGUUGCAGUGAACACUGAACUCUUCCUUUAUCAAGGAAACUACUUUUUUCUUCACAUUAACACAGAAUCAGGAAUAUAAUUUUAUUUCUGUCAUCUCACAGUUGAAGAUCCUGUUUCAAAAUACCUUCCUGAGAUGCACUUAGCAUGUUUUGACACACUCUGUUUUUCAGCAUAUCAUAACUACGUCACCAAAAUGUCAGAAUUUGGAUGCUGUAGUUCCAUUUGCCUUCUAUUGUGGACAAAUAACACGCUUUCAUACAUUUAAUGGUACUUGGUAGAAUGACUCAUGCUGCUUCAUUUCAAGUAAAGCAUUAGAAGUGGAAAACACUAAAUGAAUGGAGAUGAACUUGUCAGCAUUUGCUAGGAAGGAAGUUGCAGGAGGGUGGUAGAAUAGCAGCUGCAAAUAAAAAAGCUGCCUUGCUAACCUGUUAGUGGAUCCAUUGUAGCAGUAGUUUGGAAGGAAAUCAUAAUUGAGUUCCCAAAAGACAUGAAGAGUGAUUCUGCCAUAAGGGGCUGAAACAUUGUGGUUGGCUUCUCUGAACAUGGCAUCAAAGCUGUCCAGGGUCAUGUAUCUACUCAGAAGCUUGUGAGUCAUUUUGUUUACCUCUAUCAAGCCAUCCAGCUCCUAUGAAAAACAAGACAAAAAAGAGAAUGAUGUAUUUAAUGAAGUGGAGGAACUGAACAAAGUACAUAAAUAACCUUGAUGGAACAGAAGACUAGAAAGAAGUCAAAAUGAACAACUGACUCUCGCCCAGCCUCUUACUUUAACAAUAAGGGCUGGAAAGAAUCAGUAUUCAUGGGAUUGUUUCUUAAACCUUCUGAGACUUUAAGGGUAUUCAGAUGCAGAUGGAUCUCAAACACAGACCUGUGCCAACACUUUCUCCACUGAGCAAAACUUAAAACUCCAACAUUUAAAUGGGGUCAGACAUAGGCCAAAAGCAUCUUUCUGCAUUUCCUACUUUACAAGCAGUCACAAAGUAAUUUCUGCUCAGUACAGUAACUGGUGAACUAACUACUGUAGUGGUAAUGUUAGGAAUAACAUCCCAUUUACCAUAAAUCCUUUUCAUGGCCUAUGCCAGUGAAGGAUGCACUGAGAUGCAAUGAAAGACCAGAUCAGACAUUUACAAAUGUAGUGAAGGUAUCCACAAAAUCACUUGCUGCAGGCUACAUAACUAUAUACGAGUACUGCAUUUCAUAAUGUUUCUCCUCUUGACAAGAAAUUCCUAGUAUCCUUUCUGGUAAUUAAAAUAAAAUAAAAUAAAAUAACUCCAUAUCUGACAUCAGACACUGAAAAUACCAAACACAAUGAACACAACCUCUACUUCCAAAAAAUCCAAGCACUGCAUUUGAAGAUUAUUGUGCAAUGACAUACUGAAGAAAUAUCCAGUGGCUUUUUCUAGCUGUGUAUCAAACUACUGGUCAUCUUCCCACAGACUGCUCUCUGAUUUAAGUGCUCCUUAUUUCAAAGGAGUUUUAAACCUGUGAGCAACAGCUACUUCAAGGAAAAAACGCCACUAUGAUUAUUAUUACAGAAUUAAGUCCAAAUUGAGGAAAAAAAAUAGCUCAGUCUUGUAAAUACCUUAAUUUAAUUUAUUUAGCCUGAAAAACAGCAAAAAAUGACAGAGUACUUAAUCUAUAAGGAUCAGUUUCUCACCGAAGAAACCAACCAGUUUUCAACAGAAGAUAUUUUGCAUAAAACAAACAAACAAAAAAAACCCACCAAAAAACUUAAACAAAACAAACAAACAAAAAAAAGAAGAGCAUGGUAAAGGGGCAACCCUUAGUUCUGUCACUUUCUUACUCAAAGAAUGAGAACCUGUGACCUAAGAAACACAUCAUCGACAGUUUCUGUUCACUCAGCCACUAAGAGUGUACUGCACAUAACAAAGAAAAACUACGUUUCAAUAAUUCAAAUUUAUAAAACCAAGUGUUCAGAAGUCAAGAGGCUCUAUGGCCUCAGUAUUUGAUUUCUCUUCAGUAAAGAACAAAAUUAAACCAAGGUACUUAACUGUAUGACAAAAUGUGACUGGUAAAAAACUUAUUACAGAAAGACCAACAGUAAACUCUUUUACAUAACUUUUAAUUUAUUUUUCAUUCUAGCAGAACUGAAUGUGCCUGAUAUUUUUCUUGCUGACUGCAUAUUUACUUGUCAAAUUCAUGCCGUCUGGAAAUAAAAUUUGGUUUUUAGCAUUUUAAUCAGGAAACUAACUCAAAAGGACACCUUAAUAUUGCACAGAUGCUCUUCUUCCACAGGCACAAGUCAGAUCUCAUUCCUCCACAAAAAAAUUUUUUUUGUCAUGCUACAAAACCAAGCUGCCUGAGUCAAUAAACUAAUUUUGAUUCUACCAA